CUUCCCGCUCCGCAGCGCGCGCGCGCGCGCGCCCGGGGAUUAGCCAGGUCUGAAGGCAUCGCCCUCUUCCUGGGGCAAUUGGGGCUGCCUCCGACCCGGCUGCAGGUCUCUGCUUCCUUGCUGGAGCUCCGCGACAAGGGUGCAGGGGAUUCCUUCUGCUCCCUUCAGGGGACACCCUGGCCCCAGAGAUCAUCAGAAGCCCUCCUGAAAAAGCCCCCCUCCUCAGGAAAGUGGGAGAACGGCUACAAGGAGAAGGGCCUUCUCGGCAGUGGCACCCUGACUUUGGAACCAGCUCUCCGGAAAAGUUUGCCAGGCGCCCUCUUUGUAUUCUUUUUGGCAGCAGGCAAAGACCUUUUUAUUUUCCCCGAUAUUUUAAUUGUUAGAAUGAUUUUAAUGGUUUUAAUAUAAUAAUAUUUUACAACUGGUUAUAAACGCCUAUUGUGCCUUUUAUGUUCUUCUUGGAUAAUCUGAGUCUGUGAAAUUUUACACUGGUGCGGUUUUUACUUGCUGGAUUGUCAGAUUUUAUUGUUGUUUAAUUAUACCUUUACUGUGCUAUUUUGUAACCUGCCUAGGGAGUCGUAUGGCUAAUGGGCAGGAUAAAAAUCUAAUAAAUAAAGAGAACAAACAAG
Long non-coding RNA from Varanus komodoensis (Komodo dragon), 629 nucleotides. RefSeq lists it as uncharacterized. The record is from RefSeq and is a predicted model, not a curated record. The transcript has 2 exons. NCBI's taxonomy places the organism in Eukaryota, Metazoa, Chordata, Lepidosauria, Squamata, Varanidae.